Molecule: long non-coding RNA, 2011 nt
Organism: Motacilla alba alba
Lineage: Eukaryota; Metazoa; Chordata; Aves; Passeriformes; Motacillidae
Exons: 3
Source: RefSeq, a predicted model, not a curated record
UAGCUAAAACCAGAAAAGAAACUCUGUGAUGUUCCUUAAUAAGUUAAUUUAAAUAAGUAUUUCACAGUCUAUUAAUUGUAAGAAGCAUGCAUUACUCUGCAUUUAGAUGAAAGUGGGUAGUAUUUUCUUUAACAAAAUACAAAAUCAUAUGAUGUGUUUUUGUGACUGGUCAUCAGCAGUGUUCCAGGGAUUGAACUUGUACGCAUUUUGAAGAAAAAUACUCUUCUGAGCAAUCACCUCAAUAUGUGGAAUCUGGAAAAUUUCUUCUGCUACAAAGAGGAAAAAUGAACAUUUCCUGUUUGUCAUCUUUAGUACAUGUUGUCUUUUUAGACAACAAUAGUCAGGAACAAUAGGCUGGCAGUCAUUCAAUAUGAGCUAAGAAAAAACUGUGCCCCUGGAAGGCUGGGCUGAGUCAGCCUAAAGCUGCUAUGAUCUAAAUUACUAGGUGGACUCGGGAACAAGGUUCAAGCAGCAGACAUCCAUGUCUUCAACCUUUGAUGUUUCUUGACCUUUGAGUACCCUUUGUAUUUCAUGUUUGUAUGUGUAAGAGCAGCGCUUAGGUCAUACAGUUAUUCCCUUGUUUGCACCUGAGCUGGAUUUGAAAUAUUCUCAUUGUAUCUACGCAAAACUACGAGGGGAGAAGUGAAAGAGCAAGCCAGGUGUAUUCCUGGAUUAUCAAAAGAGUAAUAGGCAAUUCUAGCGGAUGUUCUUUACGGUUCUACCAGCAUCUGCAAAGCACUAGGAUCCUGAGCUACAAGAAGCAUAAGCCCCAGAAAAAGUGUUUCGUCAAAUAGCACCAAGAAACAGCUUGUCUCCAUGAACACCACUGAAAAAGUAACACUGGUAACAUUUUGACGCAGUGGGUAAGAGGAAAUUUCAAAACAAAAAUCACUAUUUUUCCCUUGCAGUAAUUUAAUAGAAAACUGAAAAGCUACUAUUAUUUAACAGGCAGUAACAAUUCAUGCCAAACUCUAUUAAGUCUUUGUAAAUGUGUAUUUCUUGAACCUUGGUAAAUUCACCAAUUAUUAAACAGUCAUCAACCUGCCCACUUUAACAUAUAUCUCAAUGGUUUAUUUUGAAUAACUGGAUUUAAAUAUUUUAUAUGGGUUUAUGCUUAUUUAACAUUAAUUAAUUGCCCUUUAGUAACCUUUAGUAUAGUGGACAGCCAAAAUCAGAGUUGUUUGGUUCUGACAGUCACACUCUGAGCAACACUUUUAUGGCUGUUAAUGACAUUAAACCCUAAACAGCUGCCAGAAAUCCUGACCACCUGUACAAAGGGGAAAAUCAUGUGCCUGCACUCCAUCCAUUCCAGUUCCCACAUCCAUGUCAGCAUACACACACUGUCUGGCAGGAGGUGGAAGGAAUGGGAGCAUGAACUUCCAGCACAGCUGUAGGCAGAAACCUGCAACAAGGGAACAUUUGUCGAGUGUCCUGGCAGUCUGCCGGUACGUAGGUGGCCAUCCUAGAUCUGCCUAGGGCAGCAAAAAAAAUUCUGCCAGGGCUGUCACAGCACCUGCCUAAACCAGGAGUUCACUGAAUUUAUGUGAACUAGGAAACGAGGGGGGAGCAAGGGAAGGGCAUCCUUACACGGGUAUGUAACUAACUGACGCUUUCCGUGUUGCUUACAGGAAGCACAAAAGUAUUCGAACGCAGGCUUUCCAAAAACUGGUUCACUCUGAAGAUGCUAAAUGUUCUGUGAUUCUUGAAUUUUAUUUCUAAACUGUUUUAUCACCAAAAAACUGUCACAGGGACCAUUUGUUUGUGUCUGUGUACCCAGACAAACAAGUAGUCUGGGAGAAACUGAGAGGGGGAAAUUUGAGGAAGGACUUCCCUACCCUUCGGGUCAUCUUCCUGAAUGGCUUUCAAUAGGCAAAUAGAAAUGUAAAAAGAAAUUGCAUGACUAAGGCAACAGUUUGGGUGUAGCCUUUCAUGCAUAGGAGUGGGGAAGAGGUUGCUAACCAAAAAAACCAAAGUAAAACUUCAAACCCAGAUACUUUAAAUACAGGUAUCC